Molecule: long non-coding RNA, 1038 nt
Organism: Bos taurus (domestic cattle)
Lineage: Eukaryota; Metazoa; Chordata; Mammalia; Artiodactyla; Bovidae
Source: Ensembl
GUGCCUUUCUGCAGCCCCAGGAGGGCGGGGAGGGUGCAGGAGGUCAUCGUGGGGCUGGAGCGGCUGGCCUUCGCCUUCGAGAAGGAGGUGGAGACGCAGAAGGGCACUGGGCUUCUGAUUUCCAGGCCAUGGACAGGGACUGCAACAAUAAGGAACGUCCGUUCCUCCACGUGAAGCCGGCCUUCAAGACCCAGCACUGUCCGUGGUACGACCGAGGUUUCUGCAAGCACGCAGGUCCACUGUGUUAAGUACCGACAUGUCCGCAGGACAAAGUGUACUAACUACUUAAAGCUGGCUUCUGCCCGGAAGGACCCAGGUACCAAUUUGCACAGUACUGAGUUCAGAAAGGCUCCUCCUGAAACAUGUCCCAGCCCUGAACGCUUUAGAGUGGACCCCCGGUCGUCUUCAUCCCUCCGACGGAGGAGCCUGUGAGGUCCUGCUGGCCCAGGGCAGGGGUCGGCAGGCUUUCUGUGGAGGGUCAUAGCGGAACCACGUUCAACUCUGCAGGCUCUACGGUCUCUGCCGUGACGGCUCAGCUAGCGCUGCAGCCACAGCCAGCACCUGACCAACAACCCGGGCUGUGUCCCCGAGACCUCACGUACGGACAGGCCCACGCCGGCUCGUGCCUGUGGGUUCUCGUGGUCUGCGGACCCUGCUGGGGCGGGAGAGGACCCACGCAGAGGUCGUUCCCACCCACCUCUGCACCGAGCAGCUCUGACCCAGAGUGAGGCAGGGGGAGCUGCGGGAGGGCCUCCUCCCCACGCGUCUCUUCUGGGGCGUUUACAAAGAAAGGCCGCAGAGCCCUUCCAGAGGGGGUUCCGGUGACAUUCUCAGUCGCACUGAACUACCUACCUCUAUUUUAGUUAUACCUCUACCAUACUCUUCCUCAACUGUGAAUUUUUCCUUGUGGACAAUUCCAAUACACCUUCUCCUUAACUAGGAGAAUUUGAUGCAGAAUUAUACUCCCACUAGGGACAAUUAGAGAGGGUGGGGAGGCAGGGGACUGAAGAACAGAAAGGGGAGAUGAAGCCAGCAUCG